This 95-nucleotide ribosomal RNA is filed under the name uncultured bacterium. Its description in RNAcentral is "partial 16S ribosomal RNA". The record is from RNAcentral.
AUGAAGCCUUCGGGUGUAACCACUGUUGCCGGACGAAACUCUCCUUUCGAGGAGAUUGACGGUACCGGGUGAGGAAGCACCGGCUAACUCUGUGC